GCUAGGUAACUGGUUCCACUUGUAAUGGAGAGGUCCCGGGUUCGAUACCCGGACCAGGCG
This 60-nucleotide transfer RNA is filed under the name Ixodes scapularis (black-legged tick). The record is from Rfam by way of RNAcentral. Lineage: Eukaryota; Metazoa; Arthropoda; Arachnida; Ixodida; Ixodidae.